Molecule: non-coding RNA, 364 nt
Organism: Poecilia reticulata (guppy)
Lineage: Eukaryota; Metazoa; Chordata; Actinopteri; Cyprinodontiformes; Poeciliidae
Source: RefSeq, a predicted model, not a curated record
UUCAGAAUCUGCUUCUCUUCCUGUUUGGUGAGCGUCACUCGUAUGAACCGUUACAAAAAUGGGGAUGUUUCAGAACUGAUCAAAGCUACUGUCCUCACCCUCCCAAAAAAGGCUCGCAUGGAUGCACUUCUUCCAUGAGUUGCCGUUCAUAAAGAUAGAAGCGCCCUCAAGGAAGUCAGAACAGAGAAAGGCCACAAUGGAAACUCUGUGGAAAGGAGAAACUGACUGCUGAAGACCAAUUCGGAGCUUGAAUCAUUUAAGGAGAAGGGUUCUGGAAUAACAAGAUGCUGUGGGAGUGAGGCCUAAAACCCUCAUUUAUUCAAAUAUGCCACUUCCUCUCAGAGCAUCUGAAUAAUGGCACACA